This is a non-coding RNA of Arachis ipaensis, 2047 nucleotides long. The record is from RefSeq and is a predicted model, not a curated record. NCBI's taxonomy places the organism in Eukaryota, Viridiplantae, Streptophyta, Magnoliopsida, Fabales, Fabaceae.
ACUUAACAUUUAUCCCUUUUACACUUUGGAUACAUCACGACAUCGUAUAGAUCGGGGUCUCAGUACCCACAAUAUGUCUAUUUUCUACUUCAUUCUUUAGUAUCCGAGAUAUGAUGCGUUGUGCAUUUAGGUAAUUACUUUAUAUUUUAUGCAUUUUUGUAAUUUCUCAAUUUAUUUAAUUUAAAUAAAAAGAUCCAGAUUAGAGUGAUGACCUAAAAAAUGGCGAUCAUGUGACGAUAUUGAAAGGAGUGUAAUAGUAUUUAUUGUUUAACAAGAGCUGCAAUCUUGAGGUACUUUAGAAAGUGGAAACUAACUUCAUAAGAAAAAAUACAAGUACAAAGAAAUUUCAAUUCAAGGCAUCAUAAUUGAAAUUUUCGAAUUAAUUUUACAAACUGAUGAAUGAACGCAUCAUAUUUGAAUUGGUGGUGACCCCACAUGCGAUAAUGGUUUCUGAUUGCCUGACAACUUGAGAAUUAAUAACAAAAACGUAAAUCCACCACCCAUAUGUGCAUGAUGAACCUUGUGGUGGGUCAGAACUCAGAAAUUGGAAGAGUAAUUAAAUUAUUGAAUAUUGAAAGUGAAUUGAAUGAUAUUGAUGAUAUCAGUUCAGAUAGAGUAAAACGAAGAACUGCCACAUUUAACAAAGACUUUUUCUGGGUUACCAAUGAUGGGUUUUCUGUUUGGUAGUGAACAAUGACGUUUCGUUGGUCCUUAUUGUUAUGGGCUUGGACAUAGGCAUAUUAUGCCUAGGUUUAUGCUACUUAGGCUACCUUGGAAGUUUGCUGGUCAAUGAGGAAGUUCCAAAGGCUGUUACAAUUGCUCCUCAGGCUCCAAUUUUUCUUCGUCUUAAUAACUGAAAUUCAUAUUUCUUCCAUUUUGAGUAAAUCCCUAAUUCUUUUCCCUUUGAUUGAUGCCAUGGUCGCUUUUGCAAGCUCGCAAAGCUCAACUCCUUCUCUUCCCAUUGUGGAUCCAUGUCUCUCUUUACCACUUGUCAUGUCUCCCUCUCCAUCUGCGCUGGCCCUUGUUUCGACCAACUCAUCAAAGUUGUUGUUACCUUCAAGGUUUGAGAAACCAAAUCGGUCAUCGAACCAUUAUAAUUACUAAUUUUUUGAUGUACAAGUUUAGUGAUUUUAAUGAUAAUUUAAUUAAAAUAAUCAAUUUAUAAUAUAAUAGUAUAUAAAAAAUAAAAUCUCUGACGGUUGUAAAGAGAUAGAUUACUAAGAUGAUUAAGAUUCAUUAACAAAACUGAAACACAUUGCAAAUGGACUUUAAUAAAUGCUAGUUUGACUCAAAUAAACACGACACAGUACAAUUUUUUAAUCAUCAAAAAUAGUAAUUAACAACUUAAACAGUGACAAAUAAUUGGAGACAAAAUUGUAAAUUUCACAUCUGGUCCAUGCCUUCCUGAUGGUUCACGAGUCUUUGAAGGAGCUCAGUUCCUGACAGGAACAAAAAGUUUCCCUAAUGGCCAAAUCGAUGGAAGAGUUAGAGCAGAAAGACUUGUGAACAGAGAAACUGAGAAGCAGAUUGGAAGCGAAAGGAGCGAGGAAAUUGAAUCAGGAGGAGGAGGACAACUAUGACGAUGUCUGGGACGAUGAGUGCGACAAAGAAGACGGAGAUGGCCGACUGGUAGUUAUGAUGACCUUCUAAUUCUUUCCGAGUUCCCCUUUUUAUCUCAAGACAAAGAGCAAAACGAUGUAAUUUAGAGAAAACACCACAAACGAUGUAAAUACUAACGGGGAAUGCUACGGUGAUGAAGAACAUAUUCUUCAUCAGCUGAUGAAAUUACGUGGAAGGCACAAUUAAGUCAUGCGUGUCCCUUAUUUCCUGGGAAGAAAAGAUAGUUUCUGAAGUGCUGCAGGAGUUUGUCUUAUAUCAUGUCUCCCUUAGAUGAAGUUAAUGACAUUAAAUUUUUUUUUAAGUUAAUGAAGACAUUGUUAUUAUUUUAGUUAAUCUUUUGGGUCUUUUUGGUGGAUUGGCCAGUUUUUUUUGUUGUGAUUUGGACAUUGGGUAUUAUGGCUAAUAAUUUUAAUCACUAGAAAAAUUA